AACGAACGCUGGCGGCAGGCUUAACACAUGCAAGUCGAGCGCCCCGCAAGGGGAGCGGCAGACGGGUGAGUAACGCGUGGGAACGUACCUUUUGCUACGGAAUAGCUCCGGGAAACUGGAAUUAAUACCGUAUGUGCCCUUCGGGGGAAAGAUUUAUCGGCAAAAGAUCGGCCCGCGUCUGAUUAGCUAGUUGGUGGGGUAAUGGCCUACCAAGGCGACGAUCAGUAGCUGGUCUGAGAGGAUGAUCAGCCACACUGGGACUGAGACACGGCCCAGACUCCUACGGGAGGCAGCAGUGGGGAAUAUUGGACAAUGGGGGCAACCCUGAUCCAGCCAUGCCGCGUGAGUGAUGAAGGCCUUAGGGUUGUAAAGCUCUUUCGUCAGGGAAGAUAAUGACGGUACCUGAAGAAGAAGCCCCGGCUAACUUCGUGCCAGCCGCCGCCGUAA
RNAcentral lists this ribosomal RNA (447 nucleotides) under uncultured bacterium. Its description in RNAcentral is "partial 16S ribosomal RNA". It matches the Rfam family "Bacterial small subunit ribosomal RNA", at positions 29 to 523 of the family's 1533-position model. The record is from RNAcentral.